AACGCACAUUGCACCCUCUGGUAUUCCGGGGGGUAUGCCUGUUCGAGCGUCAUUUCAACCCUCAAGCCUGGCUUGGUAUUGGGUGUCACCUAGUUAGGUGUGCCUCAAAAUCAGUGGCUAUGCCAUCUGGCUUCAAGCGUAGUAAAUUUCUCGCUCUGGAGGUUUAGAUGCGUGUUUGCCAUCAAACACUAUUUUUCAAUGGUUGACCUCGGAUCAGGUAGGGAUACCCGCUGAACUUAA
This 240-nucleotide unclassified non-coding RNA is filed under the name uncultured fungus. RNAcentral describes it as "sequence contains ITS2". Lineage: Eukaryota; Fungi. The record is from RNAcentral.